Long non-coding RNA from Pseudoliparis swirei, 225 nucleotides. RefSeq lists it as uncharacterized. Lineage: Eukaryota; Metazoa; Chordata; Actinopteri; Perciformes; Liparidae. The record is from RefSeq and is a predicted model, not a curated record. The transcript has 2 exons.
GCCUCCGGAGCAUGACGUCACUCAAAAUGACCGUUGCUUCAAAGAUCAGCCGAUCACUGGAAAACAGUAAUUUAGAUAGCUGCUAAAAAACCAAACCAACAUGGAAGAGGGAACAUAUUUUGAUGAUGAGGCAAUAAAUCGGACAAAUCCAAAAUGUCUUUAUUGCUGUUUACAUGGACACAUGCAUAUUAAACCUGUAGUCAACUACUGUUGCUCACACAUUGG